Molecule: ribosomal RNA, 514 nt
Filed under: Sulfitobacter sp.
Lineage: Bacteria; Pseudomonadati; Pseudomonadota; Alphaproteobacteria; Rhodobacterales; Roseobacteraceae
Description: bacterial SSU rRNA
Rfam family: Bacterial small subunit ribosomal RNA
Source: RNAcentral
GGCGCAGCCUGAUCUAGCCAUGCCGCGUGUGUGAUGAAGGUCUUAGGAUCGUAAAGCACUUUCGCCAGGGAUGAUAAUGACAGUACCUGGUAAAGAAACCCCGGCUAACUCCGUGCCAGCAGCCGCGGUAAUACGGAGGGGGUUAGCGUUGUUCGGAAUUACUGGGCGUAAAGCGUACGUAGGCGGAUUGGAAAGUUGGGGGUGAAAUCCCAGGGCUCAACCCUGGAACUGCCUCCAAAACUAUCAGUCUAGAGUUCGAGAGAGGUGAGUGGAAUUCCAAGUGUAGAGGUGAAAUUCGUAGAUAUUUGGAGGAACACCAGUGGCGAAGGCGGCUCACUGGCUCGAUACUGACGCUGAGGUACGAAAGUGUGGGGAGCAAACAGGAUUAGAUACCCUGGUAGUCCACACCGUAAACGAUGAAUGCCAGUCGUCGGGCAGUAUACUGUUCGGUGACACACCUAACGGAUUAAGCAUUCCGCCUGGGGAGUACGGUCGCAAGAUUAAAACUCAAAUG